GGAUGGUUGGCAGAGCAGACGAAUGCAACGGUUUCGAAAACCGUAUUGGGCGACACCAACGCAGGUGCGAAUCCUGCAUCAUCCG
Molecule: transfer RNA, 85 nt
Filed under: Caudoviricetes sp.
Lineage: Duplodnaviria; Heunggongvirae; Uroviricota; Caudoviricetes
Description: tRNA-Ser
Rfam family: tRNA
About the family: Transfer RNA (tRNA) molecules are approximately 80 nucleotides in length. Their secondary structure includes four short double-helical elements and three loops (D, anti-codon, and T loops). Further hydrogen bonds mediate the characteristic L-shaped molecular structure. tRNAs have two regions of fundamental functional importance: the anti-codon, which is responsible for specific mRNA codon recognition, and the 3' end, to which the tRNAs corresponding amino acid is attached (by aminoacyl-tRNA synthetases). tRNAs cope with the degeneracy of the genetic code in two manners: having more than one tRNA (with a specific anti-codon) for a particular amino acid; and 'wobble' base-pairing, i.e. permitting non-standard base-pairing at the 3rd anti-codon position.
Source: RNAcentral